AUUGAACGCUGGCGGCAUGCUUUACACAUGCAAGUCGAGCGGCAGCGCGGGGGCAACCCUGGCGGCGAGCGGCGAACGGGUGAGUAAUGCAUCGGAACGUAUCCUGUAGUGGGGAAUAACUCACCGAAAGGUGAGCUAAUACCGCAUAAGCUCUGAGGAGGAAAGCGGGGGACCGAAAGGCCUCGCGCUGCAGGAGCGGCCGAUGUCCGAUUAGCUAGUUGGUGAGGUAAAGGCUCACCAAGGCGACGAUCGGUAGCUGGUCUGAGAGGAUGAUCAGCCACACUGGGACUGAGACACGGCCCAGACUCCUACGGGAGGCAGCAGUGGGGAAUUUUGGACAAUGGGCGCAAGCCUGAUCCAGCCAUGCCGCGUGAGUGAAGAAGGCCUCGGUUGUAAGACUCUUUCGGUCGGGGAAGGAAAUUAGCUUGGGUUAAUACCCUGAGUAGAUGACGGUA
Molecule: ribosomal RNA, 455 nt
Filed under: uncultured bacterium
Lineage: Bacteria
Description: bacterial SSU rRNA
Rfam family: Bacterial small subunit ribosomal RNA
Source: RNAcentral